RNAcentral lists this ribosomal RNA (773 nucleotides) under uncultured Neocallimastigales. RNAcentral's name for it is "partial large subunit ribosomal RNA". It matches the Rfam family "Eukaryotic large subunit ribosomal RNA", at positions 24 to 605 of the family's 3401-position model. The record is from RNAcentral. Lineage: Eukaryota; Fungi; Neocallimastigomycota; Neocallimastigomycetes; Neocallimastigales.
UAUGUGAUCGUCUCUCGCAUAUCAAUAAGCGGAGGAAAAGAAACUAACAAGGAUUCCCCUAGUAACGGCGAGUGAAGCGGGAAGAGCUCAAAUUUGAAAUCUUAAAGGGUUUCCCUUUACGAAUUGUAGUUUAAAGAAGUGUUUUCUGUUGAGGUUUUGGUAAAAGUUCUUUGGAAUAGGACAUCAUAGAGGGUGAGAAUCCCGUAUUUGACCUUUACUUUCAACUUUGUGAUACACUUUCAAAGAGUCGGAUUGUUUGGGUAUGCAGUCCAAAAUGGGUGGUAAAUUUCAUCUAAAGCUAAAUAUUGGCGAGAGACCGAUAGCGAACAAGUACCGUGAGGGAAAGAUGAAAAGAACUUUGAAAAGAGAGUUAAACAGUACGUGAAAUUGUCAAAAGGGAAGCGUUUGACACCAGUGUUGUUUUUCUGAAAAUCAAUUAAAGAACUGUUUAUGCUAAGCUGUUUAGACUUUAUCAGCUAACUGUUUAGUUUUGAGCUUUUCUUUAAUGCACUUUUCAGUUAACAAGUCAACAUCAAUUUCUUUUGCUGUAAAAAAGCUUGAGGAAGGUGGCUUGAGAUUCGUCUUAAGUGUUUAUAGCCUCUUGCCUAUGCAGUCGGAGAGAUUGAGGUCUGCAGCGUAGAUCCUUCGGGGCUAAAUGCAUUUGUGCUAAGUUAUAACAUUUUAUAGACAACUUGUUGACUAUGAUUUGUCUUGUAGCUUACUCGCUUAUGUUAUUUUACCUACGCUUAGGAUGUUGAGUCGUAGAGCACGCA